This 73-nucleotide transfer RNA is filed under the name Fibrobacteraceae bacterium. RNAcentral describes it as "tRNA-Glu". It matches the Rfam family "tRNA". From Rfam's summary of the family: Transfer RNA (tRNA) molecules are approximately 80 nucleotides in length. Their secondary structure includes four short double-helical elements and three loops (D, anti-codon, and T loops). Further hydrogen bonds mediate the characteristic L-shaped molecular structure. tRNAs have two regions of fundamental functional importance: the anti-codon, which is responsible for specific mRNA codon recognition, and the 3' end, to which the tRNAs corresponding amino acid is attached (by aminoacyl-tRNA synthetases). tRNAs cope with the degeneracy of the genetic code in two manners: having more than one tRNA (with a specific anti-codon) for a particular amino acid; and 'wobble' base-pairing, i.e. permitting non-standard base-pairing at the 3rd anti-codon position. Lineage: Bacteria; Pseudomonadati; Fibrobacterota; Fibrobacteria; Fibrobacterales; Fibrobacteraceae. The record is from RNAcentral.
GGCGCGUUCGUCUAGUGGUCUAGGACGCUGGCCUCUCACGCCGGUAACAUGGGUUCGAGUCCCAUACGCGCUA